This 264-nucleotide ribosomal RNA is filed under the name uncultured bacterium. RNAcentral describes it as "partial 16S ribosomal RNA". It matches the Rfam family "Bacterial small subunit ribosomal RNA", at positions 88 to 354 of the family's 1533-position model. The record is from RNAcentral.
CCGGCAACCGGCGCACGGGUGGGUAACACGUAUGCAACCUGCCCGUCUCAGGGGGAUAAUCGUCGGAAACGGCGUCUAAUACCCCGUAUGAAGCUGGACGGCAUCGUCUGGUUUUGAAAGAAUAUCGGAGACGGAUGGGCAUGCGGCGCAUUAGCUAGUUGGCGGGGUAACGGCCCACCAAGGCGACGAUGCGUAGGGGUUCUGAGAGGAAGGUCCCCCACACUGGUACUGAGACACGGACCAGACUCCUACGGAAGGCAGCAG